Molecule: ribosomal RNA, 492 nt
Filed under: uncultured bacterium
Lineage: Bacteria
Description: partial 16S ribosomal RNA
Rfam family: Bacterial small subunit ribosomal RNA
Source: RNAcentral
GAUGAACGCUAGCUACAGGCUUAACACAUGCAAGUCGAGGGGAAACGACAUCGAAAGCUUGCUUUUGAUGGGCGUCGACCGGCGCACGGGUGAGUAACGCGUAUCCAACCUGCCCACCACUUGGGGAUAACCUUGCGAAAGUAAGACUAAUACCCAAUGACGUCUCUAGAAGACAUCUGAAAGAGAUUAAAGAUUUAUAGGUGAUGGAUGGGGAUGCGUCUGAUUAGCUUGUUGGCGGGGUAACGGCCCACCAAGGCGACGAUCAGUAGGGGUUCUGAGAGGAAGGUCCCCCACAUUGGAACUAAGACACGGUCCAAACUCCUACGGGAGGCAGCAGUGAGGAAUAUUGGUCAAUGGACGAGAGUCUGAACCAGCCAAGUAGCGUGCAGGAUGACGGCCCUAUGGGUUGUAAACUGCUUUUAUAAGGGAAUAAAGUGAGUCUCGUGAGACUUUUUGCAUGUACCUUAUGAAUAAGGACCGGCUAAUUCCGUG